GACUCGGAGCGGGCAGCGCUGAGAUUGCGCGUGCGCGUCACUAGAUGGCCUGGCUGUCCUCUUUCCUGGAAAAUUUCCCAAGGACUGCUGGCUGGAAACUUAAGGCUAGUGCCGAUCUGACCGUAGUGUGCCAAAUUAAGAAAACGGUGUGAGCAAAACCAAUCUUUACCUACCAUUAACUUGUAUUUGGGCAUUAGUAGAGAACAGAGUUUUUACCCCGUUGAAGAUUUGCUUUAACUUCAAAAGCGAUUACAACAAAGUAUGGACGGACACUCCUUCAGGGCCAACCUGGGUUUUUGUAAUCUCGCAAUAUUGAAAUCAAGAGACAUCACAGAACACAUCAGCAAAGGUAAGUUUAAUUUUAUUCCAGCUUGUGCACAAGGG
This 384-nucleotide long non-coding RNA is filed under the name Piliocolobus tephrosceles (Ugandan red Colobus). RNAcentral's name for it is "lncRNA (ENSPTEG00000024766.1)". Lineage: Eukaryota; Metazoa; Chordata; Mammalia; Primates; Cercopithecidae. The record is from RNAcentral.